Molecule: long non-coding RNA, 1380 nt
Filed under: Monodelphis domestica (gray short-tailed opossum)
Lineage: Eukaryota; Metazoa; Chordata; Mammalia; Didelphimorphia; Didelphidae
Description: lncRNA (ENSMODG00000041686.1)
Source: RNAcentral
AUGGUCUCGUCUCUCUUGACUACCCCAAGGCUGAAGGGAGCCCACCCGCACCGCAUCUUUGCCCACACCACUGCGCCCGGAUGGUCACGUAAGUGGUGGAUGGAUUGCGCAACUGCUGAUGGACCUGGAAGACAAAAAGGCAGAAAAACAACGCAAGAACCCCAGGACGCGCUCUCCGGCUGCGGUAGUUUGCAGCUUGCAGUGAGAGAAUGCAAGCCCCAAAUCAACUCUGCAUCCUGCUUGGGAGCAAGAGCACAACGAGGGAGGGACCCUUGGCCGCCUUGCUCUGGCAGCGUCCCGGUGGCGCCCUGCAGAAAAGCCAAGACCUUGGGCUCGGAAGCUCCGGACAUGUGCCUGGAGGAAGGAGGCUGUCAGAGAGAAAGUUGCAUUUUCUACGGUGUACUUCCUGUAGCGAAGCCUGCAGUCUUCCAGCCAGAUUGCCUGGGUCCGCUGCACAGACUCCCUUUUCUGCCCUAGAGUCCAGGGUUUGUGUGCAUGGUUACUGCCGUCCGCGUAUUCAUUUCUUAGCUCGCUGCUGCUAUCCGAGGUUACUGCUCGCAGGCAGAUUGAGAAAAGAGCCCGCUUAGCUGGCACUGAGCAGUUGUCUUGGGUCCCCCUCUCCCUUGUCGCGUGAGAGUAGCCCUCGAGUCCCGGCGGCUGCCGGAACCCUUCUGCUUCUAGUAUAGAGGUAGCCCAAUUGCGAUGAAUAUUUGCAUUCGCACCUCCUCCUCCUCCUCUUCCUCCUCCUCUUUCCCCCCUCCUGCCUGAGAAAGGAGGACGGACCCAAUUCCAGGCACGGGGCUGAUAUUUAUUUGCAAACUGUCUCUCAGUCGCCAGAUUUGCCAAUUAAAUCACCGACGCUUGGGAGGAGCCUUUCCACGAUUUUUUUUUUGGCACCUGUCUCCUGGAAUCUGCUUUUGAAGUGGAGGGUGGCAAGGGUAGUGGCGGGGUGCAGAAAAUGUAACUUUACUUUGCCAGGGGGAGGAAACUUUGUCACUCCGCAGGAGCUCGUAGGCAUGUGCAACCUGGUGGAAGAGCUCCACGCGGGGCAGCAUUUUCUUUGACUUUGUGCUUUGCUCCUGAUGACCCCCGAGGGAGAAAGAGGACACUUGGACUCCACGGUGGUUCCUCUUCGCCGCCACCUCUCGGGGUGACAGCAGCGGAGGCGAUACACUGGCCCCUUCCUCCUACUUCUCUGCCACCUUUUGAAGUCCCCAGAAAGGACGCACUUGCCCCCACGCCCUCGGAUUGAGGGAAAGCGAAGUCAGAAAAAGGUAUCUACGGAGCUAGCCCCCCACUGCAAGAGGAGCGGGCCGGGGGGCUUGGGGGGUGGCGGGGGAGAAGACUGCUUGCUGCUGGAUUCCAGGAACAAGUCACCCG